GGGCAGGACAGGUGAAAUAGUCCUACGCAUAAAUGCGUAGGAUUAUUUCACUUAAUACUUAUUCGCUACGCUCAACGUGUCCUGCUCUACGAGGU
This 95-nucleotide non-coding RNA is filed under the name uncultured Gilliamella sp. RNAcentral describes it as "traJ-II RNA". It matches the Rfam family "traJ-II RNA". The record is from RNAcentral. Lineage: Bacteria; Pseudomonadati; Pseudomonadota; Gammaproteobacteria; Orbales; Orbaceae.